CAGUCUUGUGCAGGCCAGUAGUUAUGAGGUCAUAAUGCGAUGGCUAGAUUGUACCAAGAAUAUGGUAUUUUCUGUCCUUACCUUCUUUCUAGCCUCUCAUGUCCUGCUUUCUAACUGGCUGAGAGUGACUUCUAGCAUAACAGCAUGACCUACAUGAAUACAGAAGAGAAGAGUGGUCUUUGAAUCAACAAAAAGAGCACAGACAAAACCGAUGAGAUGGAUGGGAGAGGAUAGAUUAUCACGUAUCUGAAGACAUGACUCCAACAGCAGAAGCAGUUGAAGCAAAUCUGAUGACAGCAAGACAAACGGGAGCUCAGUGAUUUAUGAGAACUAAAUGCAGAAGAUGAAAACAGACUUUAACUCAGACUUUGGAGGAGAAGAGAAGGUUAAUGUAAGAUAUGGAGAAUAAGGCUGAAGGCACAGAAAGGUGCAUGCACAGCAGAUAGACAGUGGAGGACGAGGACCUCCACAAGGUACAGGAACACCAGAAUGACUCUACCAUCCCAGUCUCCACUUGGCUUUUCAUUAGAAACAUUACCCAAUCUUGGGAGUAAGGCCAAGAUGAUGGCAACAUGUCCUUCUAGUAUCAUUUUGAA
Long non-coding RNA from Peromyscus eremicus (cactus mouse), 596 nucleotides. RefSeq lists it as uncharacterized. The transcript has 5 exons. The record is from RefSeq and is a predicted model, not a curated record. NCBI's taxonomy places the organism in Eukaryota, Metazoa, Chordata, Mammalia, Rodentia, Cricetidae.